UCCUACGGGAGGCAGCAGUAGGGAAUUUUGCACAAUGGCCGAAAGGCUGAUGCAGCAACGCCGCGUGAGUGAAGAAGGCCUUCGGGUUGUAAAGCUCUGUUGCCCGUGAAGAACGGCUUAGGGAGGAAAUGCCCUGAGUUUGACGGUAGCGGGAGAGGAAGCCCCGGCAAACUACGUGCCAGCAGCCGCGGUAAUACGUAGGGGGCGAGCGUUGUCCGGAUUUAUUGGGCGUAAAGGGCGUGUAGGCGGCCUGUUAAGUCGGGAGUGAAACCCCGGGGCUCAACCCCGGGCCUGCUUCCGAAACUGAUGGGCUUGAGUGCUCUAGAGGGCAGUGGAAUUCCCGGUGUAGCAGUGAAAUGCGUAGAGAUCGGGAGGAACACCAGUGGCGAAGGCGACUGCCUGGGGAGUAACUGACGCUGAGGCGCGGAAGCUAGGGGAGCAAACAGGAUUAGAUACCCUGGUAGUCCUAGCCGUAAACGAUGAGUGCUAUGUGUGAGGGGUAUCGACCCCCCUCGUGCAGCAGUUAACGCAAUAAGCACUCCGCCUGGGGAGUACGGCCGCAAGGUUGAAACUCAAAGGAAUUGACGG
RNAcentral lists this ribosomal RNA (588 nucleotides) under uncultured bacterium. RNAcentral's name for it is "bacterial SSU rRNA". It matches the Rfam family "Bacterial small subunit ribosomal RNA", at positions 337 to 916 of the family's 1533-position model. The record is from RNAcentral.